GCCAGGCGUGGUGGCUCACGCCUGUAAUCCCAGUGGCUCAGGAGGCUGAGACAGAAGGGUCACGAGUUCAAAGCCAGCCUCAGCAAAAUUGAGGCAUAAGCAACUCAGUGAGACCCUGUUUCUA
RNAcentral lists this small RNA (124 nucleotides) under Marmota monax (woodchuck). The record is from RNAcentral. Lineage: Eukaryota; Metazoa; Chordata; Mammalia; Rodentia; Sciuridae.